RNAcentral lists this long non-coding RNA (403 nucleotides) under Phascolarctos cinereus (koala). RNAcentral's name for it is "lncRNA (ENSPCIG00000037336.1)". The record is from RNAcentral. Lineage: Eukaryota; Metazoa; Chordata; Mammalia; Diprotodontia; Phascolarctidae.
GGAGAAUGACCUUUUGUUAUAGAAAGCCUAACAUUGCUGAAGGACCAUAAAGUACAUCAUGAAAUAAGAAAUUUCCCACAGAAGAUCCACCCAAUAUUCCAGAAGGGUUCCUUCAAGAAGAACUGUCUAUCGCUUUGUCUGCCUGAGUCUCAUCUUGCAUACAUCACAGAAGUCUUACUUUAAUGCCUCAUCAUGUAAUUUUGCAAAUAAUAUAAACAAUGAGCAAAACUUUGAAUACUAUUUUGCUUCUAAUUUAUAUGUAAAAAAAAGCAUUGGUAAUAUUGACUAGCACAAAAAGGCCAAAAGGUUAUCAUUUUGAGGACCAGGUAGAGUAAUAAGUGAAGGGUAUAUUCUUUUUAGUAGUUUCAUCAGUAACACUAAGAAAAUAAAAUAGACAGAAAUU